This is a non-coding RNA of Bemisia tabaci, 81 nucleotides long. The record is from RefSeq and is a predicted model, not a curated record. Lineage: Eukaryota; Metazoa; Arthropoda; Insecta; Hemiptera; Aleyrodidae.
UUUUAUUUGGUAAGAGUAAGGGGGGGGGGAGGUCGAGGAAACAGAUGUGGUUUCUCACUUUGAGGUCAGAGUCCUCUCUCA